AAGCCUAAGUACUCCUCUACGACCGAUAGUGAACAAGUACCGUGAGGGAAAGGUGAAAAGCACCCCGACAAGGGGAGUGAAACAGAUCCUGAAAUCGGAAGCCUACAAGCAGUCGGAGCCGCCAAGCGCGGUGACGGCGUACCUUUUGUAUAAUGGGUCAGCGACUUCAUAUGUCGAGCAAGCUUAAGCCGUUAGGUGUAGGCGCAGCGAAAGCGAGUCUGAAUAGGGCGCUAAGUUCGACGUAUGACGACCCGAAACCAGGUGAUCUAUCCAUGAGCAGGAUGAAGGUAAGGUAACACUUACUGGAGGUCCGAACCCGUGAAUGUUGAAAAAUUCUGGGAUGACUUGUGGAUAGGGGUGAAAGGCCAAUCAAACCUGGACAUAGCUGGUUCUCCGCGAAAUCUAUUUAGGUAGAGCGUCCGACGAAUACCCUGGGGGGUAGAGCACUGGAUGGUUGCGGGCUGCGCGAGCGGUACCAAUACUAACCAAACUCCGAAUACCCAGGAGUACUAUCGGGCAGACACACGGCGGGUGCUAACGUCCGUCGUGAAAAGGGAAACAACCCUAACCAUCAUCUAAGGCCCCCAAGUCAUGGCUAAGUGGGAAACGAUGUGGGAUUGCUUUGACAAUCAGGAGGUUGGCUUAGAAGCAGCCAUCCUUUAAAGAAAGCGUAACAGCUCACUGAUCAAGCGAUCCUGCGCGGAAAAUGUAACGGGGCUAAAGCCAUGCGCCGAAGAUAUGGGUUUGCAGUUUACUGCAAGCGGUAGCGGAGCGUUCCGUAAGCCUGUGAAGGUCAACCGUGAGGUUGGCUGGAGGUAUCGGAAGUGAGAAUGCUGACAUGAGUAACGAUAAACAGUGUGAGAAACACUGUCGCCGAAAGACCAAGGGUUCCUGCGUAAAGCUAAUCUGCGCAGGGUUAGUCGGCCCCUAAGGCGAGGCUGAAAAGCGUAGUCGAUGGGAAGCAGGUAAAUAUUCCUGCACCAGCUGGAAGUGACGGAUGGCAUAAGUCGUCGGGGCUUAUUGGAUUGUUCCCGGCGGUGGCGUCGUCCCUGGAAAUAACUCCAGCAGAGACCGUACCCGAAACCGACACAGGUGGUCAGGUAGAGUAUACCAAGGCGCUUGAGAGAACUGUGCUGAAGGAACUCGGCAAAUUGCACGCGUAACUUCGGAAUAAGCGUGACUCACCCUGGGCAACCAGGACUGAGUGGCACAAGCCAGGGGGUAGCGACUGUUUAGCAAAAACAUAGGGCUCUGCGAAGCAUCAAUGCGACGUAUAGGGUCUGACGCCUGCCCGGUGCCUGAAGGUUAAAGGGAGGAGUGAAAGCUCCGAACUGAAGCCCAGGUAAACGGCGGCCGUAACUAUAACGGUCCUAAGGUAGCGAAAUUCCUUGUCGGGUAAGUUCCGACCUGCACGAAUGGCGUAACGACUUCCCCACUGUCUCCAGCACAGGCUCAGUGAAAUUGAAUUCCCCGUGAAGAUGCGGGGUUCCCGCGGUCAGACGGAAAGACCCUAUGAACCUUUACUAUAGCUUCGCCUUGGCGUUAGCGACCGUAUGUGUAGGAUAGGUGGGAGGCUAUGAAACCGGGGCGCCAGCUCUGGUGGAGCCAUCCUUGAAAUACCACCCUUACUGUCGUUGACGUCUAACCGAGGGCCGUUAUCCGGUCCCGGGACAUGGCGUGGUGGGUAGUUUGACUGGGGCGGUCGCCUCCCAAAGUGUAACGGAGGCGCGCGAUGGUUAGCUCAGACCGGUCGGAAAUCGGUCGUCGAGUGCAAUGGCAUAAGCUAGCCUGACUGCGAGACUGACAAGUCGAGCAGAGACGAAAGUCGGCCAUAGUGAUCCGGUGGUCCCGCGUGGAAGGGCCAUCGCUCAACGGAUAAAAGGUACUCUAGGGAUAACAGGCUGAUUUUGCCCAAGAGUCCAUAUCGACGGCAAAGUUUGGCACCUCGAUGUCGGCUCAUCACAUCCUGGGGCUGGAGCAG
RNAcentral lists this ribosomal RNA (1981 nucleotides) under soil metagenome. RNAcentral describes it as "bacterial LSU rRNA". It matches the Rfam family "Bacterial large subunit ribosomal RNA", at positions 462 to 2561 of the family's 2925-position model. The record is from RNAcentral.